Molecule: transfer-messenger RNA, 356 nt
Filed under: Amylibacter sp.
Lineage: Bacteria; Pseudomonadati; Pseudomonadota; Alphaproteobacteria; Rhodobacterales; Paracoccaceae
Rfam family: Alphaproteobacteria transfer-messenger RNA
About the family: Bacterial tmRNA, also known as 10Sa RNA or SsrA, is named for its dual tRNA and mRNA-like properties. Its role is to liberate the mRNA from a stalled ribosome.
Source: RNAcentral
CCCCUUGAAAUUGCGCGGGUGCAUGCCUAUAUCUGAGAUGUCUUCUUCGGGAGACUAUGGUGAUAAACGCGCAUGUAAUACACGGAUCGGACCCGGGGGCGGUACCCGGCGACUCCACCAAAACACCUGUCUUUGCAGGGGGUAUGGGGUCGAAAUAGGAUCGACGGACGUUUAAAGAUGUUUGCUUUUGCUCGGUGAGUUACCACCGUUAUCGGUACAUUUAAGCUAGUUGCAAAUGACAACAGAGCUCCAGUGGCCCUCGCAGCGUAAGCUGUGCGGAAUACUGAAAACUUAACUCCUAGGGUUUAGCGACCUUAGGCGGGGUUCGCAGGCACCUGGCAACAGAAGCCUGCACU